Pipistrellus kuhlii (Kuhl's pipistrelle) is the source of this 137-nucleotide long non-coding RNA. RefSeq lists it as uncharacterized. The record is from RefSeq and is a predicted model, not a curated record. Lineage: Eukaryota; Metazoa; Chordata; Mammalia; Chiroptera; Vespertilionidae. The transcript has 4 exons.
ACCAAAAGCUUCAAUUUAAAUAGAAAAGCAGAUUUAUUUCGAUAGAGAUAUGCUGAAGACAAAGGCCUGAAAUAAAUGAGUAAUCGUUAACAUAAAAUAAUAGAACAUUUUAAUAAAAAUUAAUAUUUUUUCUUGAA